Non-coding RNA from Phoenix dactylifera (date palm), 2433 nucleotides. The record is from RefSeq and is a predicted model, not a curated record. NCBI's taxonomy places the organism in Eukaryota, Viridiplantae, Streptophyta, Magnoliopsida, Arecales, Arecaceae.
UAAAGAAUAAUUAUGCACGCAUGCUUCUCGUUCCGGAGGAUGAGACGGACUCCCGAUGGGAGUCGUCUUUAUCCGCGACUAUGUGUAGGAGUUUGGCACCCGGAGCACAGGACUCCCGCCCCUCGGUCCUAUAAAUCUCAUCCCCAGCUUCCCUCCGACCUCCACCACCGAAGUUCCGGCAUCAAGGGUGAAGAUCACUUGUGUCUUCCCUCUUCUUCGUCUCAAUUGCAGUCCGCCACCGUCAGAAACUGCAAGCCUAACAUGACCGGAAUCAAGAAUUAAGAUGGCGGGGAGAAUAUGCUUCGGGGGAGUGAUUAGUAGCAAAGUUUGAUUUUUUUUUUUAUAUAUUAUAGAUGAGGGUUUAUUAAAGUCUAAUGUAAGAGCUUGGAUGUUUCUAAACUUUUAUGAGACAUUAAAAUUUGUAUUUUAGUUAUUUAAAUUUGAAUUUAUUUAAUUGAUUAUUUAUUUUUCUGCUUGUUUUCUGAUAUCGUGAUGAGAUGUUUUACAUACUUGUGGAGAGAGUUCUCCAUGAGUAUGUGGCGAUUACCAUGACUUCAAGCUCGCAAUCUCGGGUCGGGGCAUGGCAAUAUUACUCAUCAACCACCUUCACUAAUGGUUCUCAAUGUGCCAUAUGGUGCAUAAUCAAGAUGUGAUAUAAACAAUAUCCCCUGUAUCCCAUUGGCCAAUGGCUUGGAGGAUGAUGAGUUGGACACGUUACCUCUUCUUAAUCCAGAUUGUAUUUGGCUGAUUUUGUUCUCGAAUACUUAGUGGAGCUGAAUCAUCCCUUCCUCUAUAGGAAAUCAUCACCUUCUGCCCUGUGCUUACAUCUCUAUCAGUCACUCUCAGGGGCACGCACGACAGCCCAAGACAAUCCGUAAUCAAGUGGGGCCCCUUGUCCCAAAUCUUCUCUUAAUUAUCCUCUUCUAAAUCAUGAACCUCGAAUCUUCUUCCACCCAAGCCAUGUCCAAGCAAGUCGAGAAAGGAAAGAGCAGCUAUCAAGCACUGAUCUUCUCGAAUCAAUCAAUAUGCAGUUUCAAGUUUAUCCUUGUGGGAGGUCCAUCAACUGCAGAUCCGAUUUGAAAGGGCGAUAGCUAUCCUGGCUCAGAUUGAUUAUGUAGACUUCGAAGGUGAAAAUGAUUCCUCUGCCUAGCGUGCAAGUGAUGCAACGUCCGCUUUCCUUUCGAAUAAAGAUAUUCUUCAAGAACUCUGCAACACUAUUAUGAGAAAUUUUAUAGUAUUAAGUAUACUAGGAACUUGGGCUAUUAAUAAAUCUCAAAGGUGAAUGGGUGAACAUGGAUUGUUGGAUGACUUCAAGGCAACGUUCAGGCUUAGGCCUGGUAAUGUGACUAGGAGAUUGCUAGGUUGACAUUUAGAUCGGUCAGCCUGUCGUAGGCAAUUUUAUGAGUGGUUGGCUAGGCAUCAGUCUCCUGGACCACUCACCAAAUUCGGUAUAGCCAACUUGAUAGCUCUGUUCUUGUUCAUUAUGGGCAGUAAAGUUACCUUGACUGGAUGUUAUUGUUUGGAUGUGGAAUGGUGGGUUUACUAGAGAGCAGUGUUUAUGGAUCUUGAUUACAAGGGUGAGUCUAUGCUGUGUUUCAUUUGAUAGGUGCUGUUGAAGUCAUCUAGUUCGACUAUCUGAGACUGAAGCUAAACCUUCCACCCAAAAAGGAAGAAUGCUUUAGCUCAAUGCGUUUCUCCAGCCUCUAGUACUAGGCAGCACCUUCAAAGUAUGAAGGCAUGCAUGCAUCACCAAUACCUCCCAAGGAUGAAGAGGUUCCUCCAACUGAAGAAGUGGCUCUUUCAAUUAAGGAUCUAUGGGCCAACCCAGGUCACUCGAAGAGCCUCUUCAUAAGUCUUCUUGAUUCCAUUGUAUUCUCGCACCACUUUUGGUUGCAAGCUAUAGGAAAAACAAGUCAAUCCUCCCUCAAUUUGAUCACUAAUGUGAAAGCGAAGCUCAUAGCUUCUUUGAAAUCACCUUCGUCAGGCGAUCGACCUUCACGAAAGCUCUUUGUCAAGGGCCACAGAGCUCGUCGGACUCUCUAAAACCUUGCUGGAUUUCUCUUGCCAAUCUCAUCAGUUCCUCAAGGUUAACCAAAGCUCUAUCGGCGAUCGGUACCCUUCUAUACUCUGUUCUUUCCAUUGGUUGUCUCACUAACUUGACCGAUCUCAAAGAGAAACUCAGUGGUUUGGCCUAUACCCAUCAAUCUCUAAUGUUUUUCAGAAGAAGUUUGAUAACACGACCUCCCAAAGGGCUGUAUUAGAGCAGAAGAAGGCCACCUCGACGAAGAGUUGGAGAGCCACCUUACCAGGGCUCGUGCCGCCAUAAAGAUUCUAGAACUGUCGAGUUAAGAAUGAACAUAUCCACGAUGAGAAAUGUUGCCCAGUGAUACAACCUAAGAGGGAGGGUAAAUUGGUUCUCAAAAAUUUUACAAU